AGUCGAGCGGAGAAAGUUCUUCGGAACUUUCUCAGCGGCGGACGGGUGAGUAACACGUGGGUAACCUGCCUUAUAGAGGGGGAUAGCCUUCCGAAAGGAAGAUUAAUACCGCAUAACAUUUUCGUUUCGCAUGAAAUGAAAAUCAAAGGAGCAAUCCGCUAUAAGAUGGACCCGCGGCGCAUUAGCUAGUUGGUGAGGUAAUGGCUCACCAAGGCGACGAUGCGUAGCCGACCUGAGAGGGUGAUCGGCCACAUUGGAACUGAGAUACGGUCCAGACUCCUACGGGAGGCAGCAGUGGGGAAUAUUGCACAAUGGGGGAAACCCUGAUGCAGCAACGCCGCGUGAGUGAUGAAGGUCUUCGGAUUGUAAAGCUCUGUCUUCUGGGACGAUAA
Molecule: ribosomal RNA, 392 nt
Filed under: uncultured bacterium
Lineage: Bacteria
Description: bacterial SSU rRNA
Rfam family: Bacterial small subunit ribosomal RNA
Source: RNAcentral